This is a long non-coding RNA of Alosa sapidissima (American shad), 687 nucleotides long. RefSeq lists it as uncharacterized. NCBI's taxonomy places the organism in Eukaryota, Metazoa, Chordata, Actinopteri, Clupeiformes, Clupeidae. The record is from RefSeq and is a predicted model, not a curated record. The transcript is spliced from 4 exons.
ACAACAACAAACACUUCUAAAAGCUAAUUUAUACACUAUGGAGGGAAUUGAGAGAGACUCGGAUAACAAUACCAGUCUCUAUUAGGCCUACACACGAAUCAAGAGACAGGCGAAUAUAAACGCUGCUCAACAAUAGUCCAGACGUCUGUGCAAUGUAUGGAUGACUUCGGUCAAAUUGGGAAGAAAUGGACAGAUGAACGAGGGAGGCUCUGGGAUUAUGACUUCACGGCAAGUUAAAACUGAAGAUGCACAGUCGCAUACAUCUUCAUCACUGGGCUGGCAUCAACUCAUCUUGAUGGAACAGGGUUCCUUGAGGCAGUACAUGCUACACUACAUCUUCUCCCAGCACUUCCCCUGUUAGAAGCUACUGCUGAUAAUGGACAUCAGGGAUGUCCAUCACAGCCCCAUUAAACCUUAGCAGAUGUUGAUCAGAGAGAUAGGCGGGGUGGAGGGAGCAGAAGGCUGAUAAGGUGAAAGAGGAGGCUAUGAUGGCAGAGGAGACAUGGAGUGAGGAGUCAGGAACUGGUAAAGGAAAGAGCGAGAGAGCUGUAGUUGUUCUGACAGGUUUCCAGAAGGUUCUGAUGAUCAUUGGGAGUUUCGAGUAGAAAUGAUAACAGGGUUUUUUGCCAUGAAGCUUUAACUUUGGCUUCAUACGUCGGUUUUCUCUGCACUGCUACCUUCAGCUUG